GCAAGGGAGAGUCACAGGGGGGAAUUGCUAUAUAUAUUUAAAGCCUAUCAAUCAAAGACUUUCUAACUACUUGUGUCUGACUGUGUGUGUGUGUGUGUUUGUAUCUGACUGUGUGUGUUUGUGUCUGACUGUGUGUGUGUGUGUCUGACUGUGUGUGUGUGUGUGUGUCUGACUGUGUGUGUGUGUUUGUGUCUGACUGUGUGUGUGUGUGUGUUUGUGUCUGACUGUGUGUGUCUGACUGUGUGUGUGUGCCUGACUGUGUGUGUGUGUGUGUGUGUGUGUUUGUGUCUGAUUGUAAGUGUGUGUGUGUGUCUGACUGUGUGUGUGUGUGUCUGACUGUGUGUGUGUGUGUCUGACUGUGUGUGUGUGUGUUUGUGUCUGACUGUGUGUUUGUGUGUGUGUCUGACUGUGUGUUUGUGUCUGAUUGUGUGUGUGUGUUGUGUCUGACUGUGUGUGUUUGUGUCUGACUGUGUGUGUUGUGUCUGACUGUGUGUUUGUGUGUCUGACUGUGUGUGUGUGUGUGUCUGACUGUGUGUGUGUGUUUGUGUCUGACUGUGUGUGUGUGUGUGUGUCUGACUGUGUGUGUCUGUGUGUGUGUUUGUCUGUGUGUGUUUGACUGUGUGUGUAUUUGUGUCUGACUGUGUGUGUGUGUCUGACUGUGUGUGUGUCUGACUGUGUGUGUAUGUAUUUAGAAGGUGGGGCGGGGGGGAAGGGUUGGGUGGGGGUGGCGCAGGGGGGGUGUUCAGGAUACACCACUGAACUACUCCAUAUAGAAUCUAUUAUAUAUGUGGACACUUAUUUCCUCAAGUUAGUUCUGCCUUUGUGUUAUUAUAAUUAAACAGUGUCCUAUAAGGGCCAAACAUAGAUUAAUGCCAUAAUAGACAAGAUGCAUGCAUCAAUAAACAUAUAUCAUAGAUUCUGCACUCAAAAACCUUAAUUGAUGGCAUUGCCAUAUUAACAUACCUGGCAAAAUUACAAAAUCAGUGUUCAGAGAUCCUAAAGAGGAAGGGAAUGUAAGCACCAGAUGUAGAAUGAUCCAAACAAAAGUGGUUGGAAUUAUCCCAAAAUGGAUGUGAAUUUCUUUACAAUGUGACGAGAAACAAUGAUUUGGGGUUGGCCCAAAUGCAAUGCAGGCAGUGAAUACUACUCUGCCAAGCACUUAGGUUAAAAACCCAGAAUCUUGGAGGCUUGUACUGUCUGCAAAGUACCACCAGCUUAACAGUCUUGCUGUUAACUUUUUGUAACCUAAUGCUAAUAACAGUUGCCACUAUAGAUACCAACCACUCAUAUUUUAAUGGCAUAUUUUUGCUGGUAAUGUACAAAAACACACAUCUGAGAAAGUGCAUUUCACCCUGGAUGUCAAGUAGCGACAGGAUUUCCAAAGUGGAAAACAACUGGCAAAAGGGAAAAGAAGUUCUUUUAAGAGUUCCAAGCAUGAUACCCCGACUCUUAUAUUUUAACUCUAUAUAUGCCUGUCCCCAUUGUGGAAGGUCACAAUAUGUUUUAAGUGUAUACUUAUAAACAAAAAAAGAGAAAUAUAAAAAGAGAAUUCCCGAGACACACUGUUGGAUUUUCAGAAGCCAUUUUUUUACAAUUUGUUUUCACAAAAUCAAGUACAUACAUACAUAAGGGCAUCACUGGCCAUGCUCCAGCUUUUUGGGGUCUUUAUAAAGCAUGAAACAUUGCCAGUUCGUUAAAUUGGUGAAAUAAAGGUUUACCCAUGUUAAACCUUCUAUUUCCUAGAAUGAUUGGGCCAGGAUGAUAUGACAACAAAGGUUGAAAAAGAUGAUAUGUGAACCAGGGGAGUAUUAGCCGCGAGGCAAACAAGGCAUUUGCCUUGGGCGGCUUUUUUCAGGGGGCGGCAAAAAACGCCGCCCCCAAAUGCCCAGGGCAAAUGCCUAGUUAGCCUUGCGGCUAACUGAC
This 1923-nucleotide long non-coding RNA is filed under the name Pelobates cultripes (western spadefoot toad). Lineage: Eukaryota; Metazoa; Chordata; Amphibia; Anura; Pelobatidae. The record is from RNAcentral.